Molecule: long non-coding RNA, 224 nt
Filed under: Hordeum vulgare
Lineage: Eukaryota; Viridiplantae; Streptophyta; Magnoliopsida; Poales; Poaceae
Description: long non-coding RNA (HVUL_LNC004202)
Source: RNAcentral
AGUUACACGUACGAAAAAGCAGUCCCCUUAUACAAAAAAGGAUUUCUCAACACCAACGUUAAACCAACCAAAAACACCACGUACAUUAUGAAAAAAAUCACGCAUUAAAAGAAAUAUAGCUACACGUGCAAAAAAAGAGUCCUCAACACCACAUGCAAGUUAGUUCUAAAACCAAAGUUGUACCUAUCGCGUGCAAAAGAAGAAAAAAGAGAAUCCACUGUCCC